RNAcentral lists this ribosomal RNA (254 nucleotides) under uncultured bacterium. RNAcentral's name for it is "partial 16S ribosomal RNA". It matches the Rfam family "Bacterial small subunit ribosomal RNA", at positions 524 to 777 of the family's 1533-position model. The record is from RNAcentral.
UACGAAGGGGGCUAGCGUUGCUCGGAAUUACUGGGCGUAAAGCGCACGUAGGCGGCUUCUUAAGUCGGUGGUGAAAUCCUGGAGCUCAACUCCAGAACUGCCUUCGAUACUGGGAAGCUCGAGUCCGGGAGAGGUGAGUGGAACUGCGAGUGUAGAGGUGAAAUUCGUAGAUAUUCGCAAGAACACCAGUGGCGAAGGCGGCUCACUGGUCCGGUACUGACGCUGAGGUGCGAAAGCGUGGGGAGCAAACAGGG